This 372-nucleotide ribosomal RNA is filed under the name uncultured bacterium. RNAcentral's name for it is "bacterial SSU rRNA". It matches the Rfam family "Bacterial small subunit ribosomal RNA", at positions 144 to 507 of the family's 1533-position model. The record is from RNAcentral.
UAACGUAGACGAAAGUUACGCUAAUACCGCAUAUUCUGUGAGCAGGAAAGCGAGGGGAUCGCAAGACCUUGCGCUGAUUGAGCGGCCGAUAUCAGAUUAGCUAGUUGGUGAGGUAAAGGCUCACCAAGGCGACGAUCUGUAGCGGGUCUGAGAGGAUGAUCCGCCACACUGGAACUGAGACACGGUCCAGACUCCUACGGGAGGCAGCAGUGGGGAAUUUUUGGGACAAUGGGCGCAAGCCUGAUCCAGCCAUGCCGCGUGAGUGAAGAAGGCCUUCGGGUUGUAAAGCUCUUUCGGCCGGGAAGAAAUCGCACAGGUUAAUACCCUGUGUGGAUGACGGUACCGGAAUAAGAAGCACCGGCUAACUACGUG